RNAcentral lists this ribosomal RNA (104 nucleotides) under Erinaceus europaeus (western European hedgehog). Lineage: Eukaryota; Metazoa; Chordata; Mammalia; Eulipotyphla; Erinaceidae. The record is from RNAcentral.
UUUAUAGCCACACCAUCCUGAAUGUGUUCGGUCUCAUCCAAUAUCAAAAGCUAAGCAAAGUUGGCAUGGUUAGUAUUUGGUGGCAAAGCAAAAAGCUCACAAAA